Molecule: ribosomal RNA, 1237 nt
Filed under: Heyndrickxia coagulans
Lineage: Bacteria; Bacillati; Bacillota; Bacilli; Caryophanales; Bacillaceae
Description: bacterial SSU rRNA
Rfam family: Bacterial small subunit ribosomal RNA
Source: RNAcentral
CGAGGGGCGGCGUGCUAUAAUGCAGUCGUGCGGACCUUUUAAAAGCUUGCUUUUAAAAGGUUAGCGGCGGACGGGUGAGUAACACGUGGGCAACCUGCCUGUAAGAUCGGGAUAACGCCGGGAAACCGGGGCUAAUACCGGAUAGUUUUUUCCUCCGCAUGGAGGAAAAAGGAAAGACGGCUUCUGCUGUCACUUACAGAUGGGCCCGCGGCGCAUUAGCUUGUUGGUGGGGUAACGGCUCACCAAGGCAACGAUGCGUAGCCGACCUGAGAGGGUGAUCGGGCCACCAUUGGGACUGAGGACACGGCCCAAACUCCUACGGGAGGCAGCAGUAGGGAAUCUUCCGCAAUGGACGAAAGUCUGACGGAGCAACGCCGCGUGAGUGAAGAAGGCCUUCGGGUCGUAAAACUCUGUUGCCGGGGAAGAACAAGUGCCGUUCGAACAGGGCGGCGCCUUGACGGUACCCGGCCAGAAAGCCACGGCUAACUACGUGCCAGCAGCCGCGGUAAUACGUAGGUGGCAAGCGUUGUCCGGAAUUAUUGGGCGUAAAGCGCGCGCAGGCGGCUUCUUAAGUCUGAUGUGAAAUCUUGCGGCUCAACCGCAAGCGGUCAUUGGAAACUGGGAGGCUUGAGUGCAGAAGAGGAGAGUGGAAUUCCACGUGUAGCGGUGAAAUGCGUAGAGAUGUGGAGGAACACCAGUGGCGAAGGCGGCUCUCUGGUCUGUAACUGACGCUGAGGCGCGAAAGCGUGGGGAGCAAACAGGAUUAGAUACCCUGGUAGUCCACGCCGUAAACGAUGAGUGCUAAGUGUUAGAGGGUUUCCGCCCUUUAGUGCUGCAGCUAACGCAUUAAGCACUCCGCCUGGGGAGUACGGCCGCAAGGCUGAAACUCAAAGGAAUUGACGGGGGCCCGCACAAGCGGUGGAGCAUGUGGUUUAAUUCGAAGCAACGCGAAGAACCUUACCAGGUCUUGACAUCCUCUGAUCUCCCUGGGAGACAGGGCCUUCUCCUUCGGGGGACAGAGUGACAGGUGGUGCAUGGGUUGUCGUCAGCUCGUGUCGUGGAGAUGUUGGGGUUAAGUCCCGCAACGAGCGCAACCCUUGGACUUAGUGGCCAGCCAUGGAGUUGGGCAACUCUAGGGUGACUGCCGGGUGACAACCGGGAGGAAGGUGGGGGAUGACGUCUAAUCAUCAUGCCCCUUAUGACCUGGGCCAACACACGGUGCCUACAAUGGAAUGGU